RNAcentral lists this ribosomal RNA (778 nucleotides) under uncultured fungus. Its description in RNAcentral is "eukaryotic LSU rRNA". The stretch from base 223 to 778 matches the Rfam family "Eukaryotic large subunit ribosomal RNA", at positions 1 to 571 of the family's 3401-position model. Lineage: Eukaryota; Fungi. The record is from RNAcentral.
ACGCACAUUGCGCCCGCCAGUAUUCUGGCGGGCAUGCCUGUCUGAGCGUCAUUUCAACCCUCAUGCCCCUAGGGCGUGGUGUUGGGGAUCGGCCAAAGCCCGCGAGGGACGGCCGGCCCCUAAAUCUAGUGGCGGACCCGUCGUGGCCUCCUCUGCGAAGUAGUGAUAUUCCGCAUCGGAGAGCGAUGAGCCCCCGCCGUUAAACCCCCAACUUUCCAAGGUUGACCUCAGAUCAGGUAGGAAUACCCGCUGAACUUAAGCAUAUCAAUAAGCGGAGGAAAAGAAACCAACAGGGAUUGCCCUAGUAACGGCGAGUGAAGCGGCAACAGCUCAAAUUUGAAAUCUGGCGCAAGCCCGAGUUGUAAUUUGUAGAGGAUGUUUCUGGCGACGUGCCUUCCGAGUUCCCUGGAACGGGACGCCAUAGAGGGUGAGAGCCCCGUACGGUUGGAUGCCUAGCCUCUGUGAAACUCCUUCGACGAGUCGAGUAGUUUGGGAAUGCUGCUCUAAAUGGGAGGUAUACGUCUUCUAAAGCUAAAUACCGGCCAGAGACCGAUAGCGCACAAGUAGAGUGAUCGAAAGAUGAAAAGCACUUCGAAAAGAGGGUUAAAAAGUACGUGAAAUUGUUGAAAGGGAAGCGUUCAUGACCAGACUUGAGCAGGUUGAUCAUCCGUGGUUCUCCGCGGUGCACUCUGCCUGCUCAGGCCAGCAUCAGUUCGUUCCGGGGGAUAAAGGCUCUGGGAAUGUGGCUCCCUCGGGAGUGUUAUAGCCCACUGCGUAA